AUGGGGCCCCUGGUCGCCGUAGAGGAAGCAGAGGAAGGCGCGGGUGGCCAUGGCGCUGAGCGACGAGCUGCUGCUGCUCGAAGCGGACAGAGGCAACUAGGGGGCACGGACGAGGCCGGGAAGACGGGGAUGAGCGCCCAGGUCGCAGGGGAGGCGGGCGACGGAGCAAGAGGUGCACGGAGGCCUCGAUGUGCAGGGGGUCGCUGGGCAGGGACAACGGCCGCGGGACUUGGCGCGGCGGCGGCUUCGGGCCGGACCAAGGAGGAGGGCAGCGAGGGGAUCGCGUGCAGAGGCGACGGGGCCGCCGGAGUUGGUCUCUAG
Molecule: ribosomal RNA, 321 nt
Filed under: Triticum aestivum (bread wheat)
Lineage: Eukaryota; Viridiplantae; Streptophyta; Magnoliopsida; Poales; Poaceae
Description: partial small subunit ribosomal RNA
Source: RNAcentral